This 119-nucleotide ribosomal RNA is filed under the name Triticum aestivum (bread wheat). The record is from RNAcentral. RNAcentral also lists the same sequence under 1 other name. Lineage: Eukaryota; Viridiplantae; Streptophyta; Magnoliopsida; Poales; Poaceae.
GGAUGCGAUCAUACCAGCACUAAAGCAUCGGAUCCCAUCAGAACUCCGAAGUUAAGCGUGCUUGGGUGAGAGUAGUACUAGGAUGGGUGACCUCCUGGGAAGUCCUCGUGUUGCAUUCC